GUGGCUUCGCAUAAACUUAAAAACUGAUAAAUUUACUAAUAGUUAUGAGUUUUUGUGACUGUGAAGCCUAAAUUUAUUGUUCUCCUCGCUAUCCAUUUCCAUAAUUAUAUGGAUUUUCGGACGUCGGGGACCGACAUCC
Molecule: small nucleolar RNA, 139 nt
Filed under: Theobroma cacao (cacao)
Lineage: Eukaryota; Viridiplantae; Streptophyta; Magnoliopsida; Malvales; Malvaceae
Description: Small nucleolar RNA snoR136
Rfam family: Small nucleolar RNA snoR136
Source: Rfam by way of RNAcentral